This 8173-nucleotide long non-coding RNA is filed under the name Homo sapiens (human). Its description in RNAcentral is "HSALNT0357368". Lineage: Eukaryota; Metazoa; Chordata; Mammalia; Primates; Hominidae. The record is from RNAcentral.
UUCAAAAACAGUGGACAGCCAAGCCCUGAUGGACUUGAGAGUACCUACCUUUAUGUACAUACUUAUAUAUUCAAAACAAAUGCAUGGAAUGGAAACUACAAGAAAGGACUUGGAUUUGCCUGCUCCUUCUGCCUCCUAUUGUCAUGCUUCUGAGGUAAAUAGCAUCUCUGGAGUCCAGCCAGGACCUUGGAUUUUGCUCAUGCUAGAAAUGCCCAGGGUGGUGCUUGGUCCACAGAAGGUGGAUUUGUUCAAGCUGUACUUCUGAAGACACAUGUGGGAUAAUUAACAAGGCAUCUGCAGCAGAGAGUGGAUUUGUCAACAUGCAAAGCUGCUGAUCUGCCCCUGCAUGCUGCUCCCUGCCCUAAGUGUGAGGAGGAUGAACUGCCCUCUUUUCACCUGCACCUCCCUGGAUGGAACAGAGCAUCUCCAUAAUACUUUAUGCAGAAGUAUCACUUCUAUUUAACACCAGAAACCCCAGGCACCAACUUUAAAUUUUAAAUAAAGGAAAAUGUGGACCACUUGCAAUGUUACAAAGCAAAAAGAAACACAAGAGGCAAAUAUUCCAAUCUAUUCUCCACUCUCAGCAUUAACACAACAAAAUAAAACAAAACCUGCAACGACAAUCAGAUUUGUAAAAAUACUAGUAGUCAGAAUCCCCACCUUAUCUUCUCAACAAUUUGGCUUUCCAAAAUCAUUGGUUUUCAUGAGUGUGCAUGUCAAAAGUUAAAUCCCGUUCUCUUGUUACUGUGAGCUGUUUUAGAAAGGGUGGGAAUGUAAGUUCUGAACAUACCUGCUAAAGGUGGCUGUGCAACGCUGACAGUUAGUAACUGUGCACCCUUCAAAGAGGCUGGCUGAGUUGCAGGUGUGCUGAGCUCAACCAUGAUCUGCUGGGAAUGCACAUUCUCAGUGCAGGACAAAUGAAAUUGGUUCUAACUCUGCAAUGCAGCAGAAAAAAGAAAUGGCUAGGCAUGAUGAAUUAUGCCUGAAAUUCCAGCAAUUUGGGAGGCUGAGGCAGAAGGAUGGUUUGAGACCAUUCUAGCAAAUAGAAUGGUCUAUUUCAGACCAGUCUAGGAAAAAAAGUGAGACUUCUGUCUCUACAAAAAAUAAAACUAGCUGGUUAUGGUGGUGCACCUGUAAGUUCCAGCAACUGGGAGGCUGAGGAGGGAGGCUGAGGAGCGCUUGUGCCCAAGAGAAUGAGGCUGCACUAAGCUAUGAUUGUGCCACUGUACUCCAGCCUGGAUGACAAAGUGACACCCUGUCUGGUAAAAUAAAUUACCACGGGCAGAUAAAGUGCUCAGUGAGCCCACACUAAUUUGCCACAGAAGGGUGGAAGCAAAUUCAAGGCUGAAAUCUAGCUCUUCAUUUCCUGAAAUCAUUCAUGCCCACUCUCUCCUGGCAUGAAAUGCUGAUAACCUGGUUUCAAUUUUAAGCUUAAAUUUACAGCAAACAGUGCAGGUAUCUCAGUUCAAUGCCUUGGAACCUCCUCUAAAGAUGAUUCUACUAACACUCAUUUCAGAAGUGAGUGCAAAAUAAUUUUUACAUAAACAACCAAGUAAUCCCACAGCGCCUGCAUACCUAUUAUAACUCAAAAACUACCCUGCACACCUGAGCAUGAUGUUUAAAUACCAAGCCACUGGUAUGUCUGGAACACAUGCACAAAGGAGACGUAAACCCACAGCUUCUAGCACAAACAUCUGCCAACUUAGCUUUCUUGUCACCUGCAACUAAUGGUGGGUGAGAUUGAGUAAUCCCAUGAAAAUAUCAUUCCUACAAAUUUAGUCACUAAAAACAAAAGAUAUAACAAACACACUCUUGUUGACAGUAGGCCUUAUCAAUGUUAUUUGUCACUAAGGCACAAAGGAGUUUCAUCAAUGGACCUUGCUUUUUUGAAACCAGAAAAGUUAGUGGCGGUUUACUGACAGAAUGACAGAGCAAGGGUUUCUCAAAAUCAUCCCCUUAUGCUCCUAACGAGCAUAUUUACCCUCCAGAAAAAAUGAGGCAAUGCUUUCUGGGGGUUAUAAUUUAAAUACACUAAAAUGCAUAAAUCUUACACAUUUAGUUUUUAGCGUUUUAGCAACUGUCUACACCUGUGUAACUACGAUGCAAAACAAGAUAUAGGACAUUUUUAUUAUUUCAGAAAGUUCUCCUGUGCCCUUUUCAGUCAAUCUCCACACUCGAUAGAUAAUUACUGCCCUGACUGCUGUCACCAUAGCUAAGUUUUGACUAUUCCCAAAGUUCACAUAAAUGGAAUGACAAAGAAUGAGUUAUGUCAAAUCUGGCUUCAACAUAAUGUCUUUGAGAUGAAUUCAUGUUGUUACACGUACCUGUAACACAUUCAUUUUAUUUUUGGAAUGUUAUUCCAUUGUAUGAAUAUAUAACAAUUUCUUUAUCCAAUCUCUUGUUUGUGGAUGUUUGGAUUAUUUCCAGUUUAGACCUAUUAUUAAGAAUAAGGCUGCUAUGGACAAGCUUCUACAAGUCUUUUUCGUGGACAUGUUUCCAUUUUUUUCACAUAAACAAGUGGAAGUGGGAUUGCCAUGUUAUUUGGGAAGAUUAUGUUUAGCUUUAUAAGAAACAGCCAAAGAGUUCUCCAAAGUGGCUGUCAGGACAAGGUAAAUGCACAUGCAUUCUAGUUGCUCCAGGUCCUUGCCAGCAUUUGGUAUGGCAUCUUUCUGAUACGAGCCACUCUAGCGGCUCAUGGGGAAAUGGGGCUGUGCAUGAGAUGGGACUACCCUGAUCAACUUUCCCAGUGCCAGUGAGCUACCUCAGACUGAACCUACAUGAGAGGGGUUGCUCUCCACUGACUCAUAGGACAGCCCAAGGUUAUGUGGAGGCAGUGAGUUAUCUCAACUGAUUGCUCAGUCAAUUACAGAUUCAACUCCUCCUUCUAUUCUUUCCCUACUUCUCAAUACUGUACUUUACUAGUCCUUAAACACAUUUUUUUUUUUUUACUUAAAAAAAAGAAGCUCCAGAAAGGAAACUUUGAAGCAAAAUAAGGACUCCCUCUCCCUCCAGAACAUAAAGAAUGAGGUGUGUUUUGUUUGAGUUGGUGGCAACAUUUAAACUCUUGUUUAUCCCCUAGGAGGUAAGGAGAAGAUAUUUUCCAAUUUUCCCAAACAGGGUGUUAUGAGGUAAAGUUCUGUGAGAGAAAGGUGAGGCCCUUAAAUCUGUCAAAUUAUUAACUGAUUUUUCUUCUACAGGUGGUGAUUUUUUGAAUUUCCUAUCUUUGUCUUUAGCACCCAAUUUUAGAGACCAAAUGGUUGGUCUAAUCAAAUAGUUAUUUUGUGUUAUCCAGAAUGACCCCUGCAUUCCACUCUCCAGUAACUUCCUGAAGCUUUUAUCUUGAUGUAAAAACAGGGCAGUUUCCACACCAUUCUCCAGAGGGUGAUGUGAGAAACCGAGGAAGGGAAACAGCAUAUUGCUGCUGAAACAUGUGACUCCAUUCCAAGGUUAGAAUAGAACAGGUUUAAAACUGGUACUGUGUGGUUUAAAGAUAAGCAGCCUGUGCUGUCUUUUAUUUUCAGAAAUAACAUAAAUAAACAACAAUUACUGAACGCAAUGUGCAAUCUCUAUCUUCUGUGUUUCGGGGUCAAUUGUCUAACAGGAGCCACAGGAAGAGCUUCAGAGGCACCCAGAUGCCAAGCCUCAAUUCCCACUGUGACUCUACUCUGGCAGAGGUGAGACUUCACCUUCCAGAAACUAUGCUGGGGGCCUCUGUGUCUGUGGCAUAUUGUUUAUAUUGUGUGUUUAUAGGCAAUUUUAACAAUCACUGUUUCUAGAUUGCAACCCUCCUGAGGCACUGCGCUGACACAGCAAAGUUAUUCCCCUUACUGAAGAGAAAAAUUAGAGGCCUAAACACCACAGAAGCCCUGAUAAUAUGGAAUAUUAGCAUCAAUGUCAGAGCACAGUAUUUAGGACAGAUACUGAUAAAGACAGCAUAGAUGACCACCUCACCUUGUCACCACCUGAGCGAGGAGCCCUUAAAAGAUGGGUUUCCUCCCCGUGAUUACGGCCUGCUGGCUUCUCCAGGACUGGGUUAAGGCACAGCUAAAGCUGUUCUCUUGGCCCUGCAGAGCCAAACCCUGGACCUUUCCAGGAAAUGGAUAAAUACCAUUUCACUUCAUUCAUUCACUGCUGCCUGUGGUGCCUGAAUACAUGCCCUGUGGCAUCAUCUGUGAGUUACCCACACUUCCCACAGCAGAUGCAUAGGGAGGAGGUACUUUACUCACCCUUCCUCUGACAGAAAAGGAUGAAGUCAAGGGCCUGGUAGAGGCACCACUAAGAAAGGCAUCUGAAAGGACCAAAGAGAGUGACCAGCAAGCAUUUUUUGCAAGGCUGAGGAGCUGACAGCUUCCAUGAAAGGCUGGACCACCCAGUGGUGAAAAGCAUCAUCUGGGUUACCUUGUGCUGCCAUAAAACACACCACAGACUUGGUGACUUAAACCACAGAUAUUUAUCUUCUCACAAUCCUGGAGGCUGGAAGUCUGCAAUCACGGUGCCAGCAUGGUCAGGUUCUGGUGAGGGCCUCUUUCCUUCUCACUGUGUGCUCUUUCUUGUGCAUGGAGAGAGAGAGCAUGAACAAGCCCUCUACUGUCCCUCUUAGAAGGGCACUAAUCCCAUAAUAAGGCAUCCACCCUCCUGACCUCGGCUAACCCUAGUUAAGUACUCAAGGCCCUAAUCUCAAUACCAUCACAUUGGUGGUUAGGGCUGUAACAUUGGGAUAUGGGGCAAGACACAAACAUUCAAUCCAAAGCAAGCAUGUCCACACUGUUGGGACUCCAAUCCCACUUUUGUCAUUGAGUCAUUAUUUAACCACUGUACCUCAGUUUUGUCCUCUUUAAAAUAAGGAAAAUAUACCUUGUAGGGUUACUGUGAGACUUAAAUGAAUUACUAAAUGUAAAAAACUUUAUAAGAUUCUUGGCACAUGGUAACUGCCAUACCUAUUACCCAUAACUAACUGAUUUUUUACACAAUUUACUAUAAUAUAACCACAAUUCUUAUUCAAACAUCCUGGACCUAGCUAACAGUGACACGUGAUGAUUUCUGAAUGAGUUUUGAGAAGAAACUGAGUCCCAAAGAGUGCAACUUUCUCCCACUGUCAGAAGGCCUACACACCACUCUUCUCAGAGAGGUGGAAGAAUUGAGCUGUGCUUUGGAACUCUCGAUUACAUCAGGAACAGAUUGCUGAUUGGUGACAGAUAGCAAGUGUUAAUAGUGAUGUUGGUGCUGAGACAAAGCUGACAUCUCUUCAUCAUGCUCCAAUACAAGCAUCAUUCCCUUGUGCCCAAUGCCGAUUGGCUGCCUUCUAUUUUAAUUAAUUGAUGCUGGUAAACUUUCUCUUACAAUGCGGUGGCAAGUCCUGCUUCUUAUCUUUACAGAACUUCACUCAGGACACACUCAGAUGUUGCUCUUUGAUCAUGAAGGAUGUUCACCAGCAACUUAGUGCCCAAAUAGACAAGAGAAAGGGGGGGUGAUGAUUGCUCAUGAGAAGUGUUGUUCACAUAGCUGCACAUCAAACUGCUGAACUGGGUGCCUGCCUCAGUCAGGGCCCCAGGAAGAAGGGGGUGAUUCUCAGCCUAAGUUGUGCUCCAGAGCCUCAGCUGCUUCUGCAGGGCUGGGGAGGGAAUAAGGCCACCUCCAUUACACAGAGUGGAACUGCCCAGGCCAUUUGCUUAUUUGAUCCUUAUCACUGAGAAAAGGAAUUUCAGAGCUGGAAGUCCUGGAAGUCCUGGAAACCAUCUUGGCACUCAGUCUUUUCUGUAGCCUCCAAGAUGGCAGGAAUCAUAAGCUGGAGACAUCUAGUUAUUGUUGCUGCUGUUGAUGAAGACUCCUCUCGCCCCAACAGUGGGCCUCACAGGUGCUAAAGACAAGUGGUCACCCACAGGGCUUAAUGGCAGUGACCCUGGGAGGGACAGCGUCCCUAGCCUCUACUUUUCUACAUGGAAUUAAUGAAAAUGUAGAGAAUAGAAGACACAGAAUGUAUAUACACAUGAACAUAUCCUGAAUAAGAGCUAUUUUAUCUCACUGAAAAGUUCGUAUCAAUCACUUAUUGGGGCAUUCAGAGCAUCCUUUGAAAGGCCAGUGUGACCUGAAGAUUCAUGGAUCCUAAAUUAGAGUACUGCCUGUGCGUAGCUGCAUUAAACCAAAUGAUCAAGAAUAUCAAGAUACAUCUUCCUGGAUCUUCAAUCCCACUUAAAGAUUUGGAGAACAUAUCAUUUUAUAUUAAAACCAAUAACAUUUUCAGAAUACAUUUGAAUAAUUUCUUUUUACCUAAAAACAGAGUCUUUAAAUAAGUAUCAUUUUUGAGAUGCAUUGCCAUAGGAUACAUACUGAGGUGUCUUCUCUUUCUCUUACCUAUUAGAGGCAUUUCUGGGCAAGUUUGAGGAGCAUGGAAUUAACAGUCAUCAAUGCAUUGCUGGAUUUGAAAAUGAUUUAUAUCAAUCAGCAGAGGACCUCCACUGGUGAUGUCAGCAGGAUCUGAGGAUGUUCAGGUAGACAUGCUAUGCUUUGAAUCUCCAAACUUGAACGACAUUAUGACUGUGCUCAUAGCCAGGCUUCCCUUGCUUGUGGUCAUUGCUGUGGAUCAAGGUUGUUUUGCCUUCCAUGCAGUGGAUUUGCUGAGGUGCUUCUCAAUCUGUAUCUCAGAAUUGAGAUGUAUGAGAAAGAUUCUCAGGAGGGGAGAGAUAUCCUCUUGGGGACACGACCAUUGGCUUCCUUGGCCUCAUUGAGUAGCAGUGAAUAUGGACCAGGGGAGGAGAGCGGCAGGACUCACAGGGAUGGUCUCAGCAGUGGAGGAUGGUGGCAAAGAGUGAGGACUUAAGAUUCAGAUGAACCUUGCCUGGAACUGUGCCUCUGUGCCUUAGACUGCAACACUUCAGAGGUUAAUUAACUUCUCUGUGCCUCACUUCCCCCUCUGUAAAACCAAGACAGCAGUAGAACUCACAGGGCUGCCCUGCCUAGCACAGUUAGCUGUACUCCUACUUCCACACAUUCCAUUUCACCAAAAGCCCAAGAAGCUAUGAAAUGAAAACUUCAAAACUAAGCUAUGUUUCUUCGUUCCUCAAAUUCUACUUCUCCACCCACAAAUAUGUGUACACUGAUCUUAAAACAGCUCUGGCUGUAAAAUCACUUUGCUGGAGUCAAUGAGGUAAGAGGCUAGAACACAAUACUAGGGAUCUGACCCCUGCAGGCUGGCCAUGAUCCAUCCCUCAGGCAGCCUUCCCAGAGCAGAAAAAUCCAGGGAGCCACUUAAUGAGACGUUUUCUUUAAUGUUUUCUUUAACUCUGACAAUUGCAACUGAAAUUUAGCAGGAGCUUGUAGCCCUCCAAAAUUCUUUCUCUUUCUUUCUCUCUCCCUCUCUCCCUCUUGCUGCUACUCUUUUUACUGCUUUUAUGCACCAAACUUCAUGGUUUUUUUUUUAAUGGAAUGAUGUUCUUGGGGAAGAAAAGAUUUAAUAAAGAUAUCAUGGUAACACCAAUGAAAAUUGUAAAAAAGUCCAAAUUUAAAAGUUAAAAUCUUGGUAUCUACUUUUAACAUUGAUUUAUUUCCUUUAUAAAAUGAAUAAUGUUACAACCACUACAACCAUGCCUUUCUUCCGCCAGCGGUUUUUGAACGCUUAUUGCACGUCAACCUCUUGUUUACUUCUCAGAGACACAAAUAUGAAGAAAGCACAGUCCCCAAAGCUUACUGAUAGGCACAGGCUCUACACAUCUGACAGAAUGGGAUGUGUAUCUGAGACUAGUGAUUCAUUUAUACACACACCCUUAUGGGUGCACAGGAGGAUUCACCAGCACACCCUGCAAUCACUCCAAACUUCCAACAGAAGUUUUCCAAAUCAUAAACACUUUCAAAUUUAGUCUAAAAUCAACCCUCACUUUCUCCCCCUUUUCCCUAAUACUUCCUAUUUUCAUCAAUGACACACUGCCCUCAGGCAUAAGUGAAAGGUGGGUCUUGGUUUCAGUUUCUACUCUCUUCUAUCCAUACCCCUUCCUGGGUAUUCCCACAUAUAUUAUUUCAAAACCCUUGCAAUAGAGAUACUAAUUAUUCCCAUUUCACAGAUGAAGCAAAUAAGGCUCAGGGGUUCAAUCCAAUGUCAUAUAGUAAAGGGCCGAGGCAAGAUUUGAAUCCAGGUCUCUCCAAUGCUAGAGUCUGUGACUGUUUCAUGGUAUCUCACACA